UCCUUGUCUCUCGCUCACGCCUCCGCUGCUCGCGCCCGAGGGAGGGAGGGGGCAGGGAGCGGCGGCGGCCUGGAUUUGACCGACCUCGCUCCGCGCUCCAAGCAGGUGGUUUCCUAGGGGCGACCCUAAUAUUGCAAAGCGGGUCCUCGCUGUGCCGACUUUUGGUCUUUUCAACGGGGUUUUCAUUUUGGCACCUGCCUGCAGCAGACACCAUUUUGAUGCGCUCUAAGGUUUUCUUUUCCCCCGAUCCAAAAGCAGAUAGACUGUUGUGGGCCCGGGAGCUCAGUCUAAGGGUUGCGUUUUUCUGCUGUGGUCAGAAAUCUCCGAUUUGCCCCUUCCCCACCCAGCCCUUUCACAUCCUGCUUCAUCCAAUGAGUGGGCAUCGCCGAAUACAAAGGAAUGUGGGAUUGUUAAGAAACGACUCACGCUGCUGGGGAAAUGCCUAGCUGCUGGUUCAUACUACUCUGAUGAAAGAGUGAGAAAAGAGCAGGCUGUGGAGUAGGAAAAGCAGCUGAUUUCCCAAUAACUUGAGGGGGAUUUGGCUGACAAGUGCAGGGCACACAGUCUGCAAGUCCCUUUAUAAGCGAUUUCUUUUAUAUCCCAGAAUUCCCUCCUAUCUGUGAGGAGGAGGUGGUAGCAACCUUGACCAGGUAGUUUGAGACUUAGCCUACCUACCUUUCAAUGCAGUUGUGGAAGCAAUGACAUAAUCAGGCUCCCAUAGCCUUCCUCUUCUGUGUCAAGACUUCCAUCCAAGAAACUAUCAUUAGGAUUGUAUCCCCCUUUUUAUGUUUACUAAUGUGGGGUAAUUGGUCUUUUCACCUUUGGUUGUGACUGAGUGGGACUCUCAGUGGGGAGUUUUGUGCCCAGAGAGUAACAUGUCAGGGGACUAGUAGAGAUUUUGGAACACACCUGUUGUAUCACUGCCUUUCUUUUUUGUUGUGUAGCGUGCUGUCUCCCCAUUGCCAAUGUUUCUUCCUUCCCUCUCUCAUACUCUUAGUUCCAUGUGGGUGUGAGCAGAGUGCUCCCCACCUCUGCUGAGGUUCAUGUGCAUUUAUGAUUGUGGACAUCUCUAGCACUGUGUGGAGAUGCAGCAUAUUCCUGGGGCCUCUGGACAGAACAUAGUGUUAUGGGUUUGUGGGGACCAGACUCUCCUAAAUUCCUGGGUCCAGGAAAUGUUAAAAAAUAAGCCAGGCCUGUUUCCUGAUGAGCCAUUUAGAGAACAAAGGGAAGGUAAUGAGCCAUUAGAGAAACAAAGAGAGGGAGCUCUGUGUCAGAGGGCAAAUAGAAAGGGCCCCUCCUUCAACUCAGAGUGAAUUUGAAGACAAGGCAGAGUUUGAGAGCUCGCUGUGAUGUGAGUGAGAAACUGGAGAAAAAGCAGCAGGCAGAGAAUGAGGAGCCAUGGCUGAUUUCUGCUUGAAUCCGAGGCUGCAACUAUGGGAGAAACAAUACCCUUUUGUGUGUUAAUCAUAUGCUCAGGUUGUUUAUAUGUGUAAAUAAAGGUGUGGGAAUGUUGAGGAAAGUAGGAGAGGAUAUAUUGAUUAAGUAUUAUCCCUCCUCACUCACGCUAGUGAGCAAACAGCAGAGCACAUUCCCUUGCUGGAAGCAAGUUGAUGAUUUGUUAGAAUCAUUUAAGUUAAGCAAUCUAGUCUGGCUGCUCCAGUCUGGAUUGUUCCUGGCAAAUUGUCCCCUUUAUUUCCCUCCUAAAAUAAUAAUAACAUGACAGUCUUGUUUAGACGAGUAAGGUUUACUUACAUUCAGUUCACAGUAGUAUUCUGAAGGCAGGUUUUAUCCUGUGGUCACAGUUACAUUUGUAGAGAAGUCUGAGCUAGGCCUCAGACUUUCUACCUUGUGGCUUCCAUCCUCCGUAAGGAUGAGCCAUGUGCCAGCUAAGAGCCAGAAGAGGAGUCCGAAAGGAGAAAAUGGGGAAAAAUGGAAGAUGACUGCAUGACUAGCCCUUUUGUAGGGUCUGCUAGGGUCAUGCCAAUCUAACUGGUCAAACACAGGGGGAGGUAGCUCCAGAGCAGGUAUGACAGGAAGUCCUCCCUGUCUGGGGCAACAUUCUCCUGUGUGUCCACUCUAGGCAACAGGAAAUGUAGUUGACGGCUUCAGUGAUGAUACAUUCCACAAAAGACACCACAGUCUCUGCUGUGCCUCAUUUCCAGUAAGAAACCUGGACCCCUGGAGAUGAAAGGUUCCUUUGAGGGAUCACCCAGAAGUCCCUUCUGCCCCAGAGACCGUACCUUGGAAGCCAGCUUAUAUUUUUGCAGCUCUCCUUGGUGUUGUGUUGCAACUUUAUUCCCUGUGUGUACCAAGGGACAAGCACCUCAUUGCCUCUACCAAGGAAAGGCUACACACACCAUCUUUCUUUGAAGACACCUGUACUUAAUGUCUGAACAUCAGGGACGCACACAGAGAUGUGGCUCCUCAGCACCAUUCCACAUUUGGUGCCUCAUUGCGCAAUGCAUGCAAGAUUAAUGUUCCUGAGAUCCCUGAGCAUCCAUGUGGCAGCAAGGGCAUCUUCCUCCACAAAAAUCAUUACCCCCUUCGUUAAGAAAAAGAGCAGGUUUUUAGCAUGCGUUGUGAGAAACUAACCUGCUCCCACCUUCUGGGUUUUCAGCGUUCUAUUUCCAAGUUGUUCAUAAACUAAGCUGUUCUAAAACCAAA
Podarcis muralis (Common wall lizard) is the source of this 2664-nucleotide non-coding RNA. The record is from RefSeq and is a predicted model, not a curated record. NCBI's taxonomy places the organism in Eukaryota, Metazoa, Chordata, Lepidosauria, Squamata, Lacertidae.